AACGAACGCUGGCGGCAUGCCUAACACAUGCAAGUCGAACGCGACCUUCGGGUCUAGUGGCGCACGGGUGCGUACCGCGUGGGAACCUGCCCUUAGGUUCGGAAUAACUCCCCGAAAGGGGUGCUAAUACCGGAUAAUGUCUUCGGACCAAAGAUUUAUCGCCUUUGGAUGGGCCCGCGUUGGAUUAGCUAGUUGGUAGGGUAAAAGCCUACCAAGGCGACGAUCCAUAGCUGGUCUGAGAGGAUGAUCAGCCACACUGGGACUGAGACACGGCCCAGACUCCUACGGGAAGCAGCAGUGGGGAAUAUUGGACAAUGGGCGAAAGCCUGAUCCAGCAAUGCCGCGUGAGUGAUGAAGGCCUUAGGGUUGUAAAGCUCUUUUACCCGGGAUGAUAAUGACAGUACCGGGAGAAUAAGCUCCGGCUAACUCCGUG
RNAcentral lists this ribosomal RNA (433 nucleotides) under uncultured bacterium. Its description in RNAcentral is "partial 16S ribosomal RNA". It matches the Rfam family "Bacterial small subunit ribosomal RNA", at positions 29 to 507 of the family's 1533-position model. The record is from RNAcentral.